GAUGAACGCUAGCUACAGGCUUAACACAUGCAAGUCGAGGGGUAACAAGAGAAAAGCUUGCUUUUCUUGUUGACGACCGGCGCACGGGUGUGUAACGCGUAUCCAACCUGCCUAUAACUAGGGAAUAACCUUGCGAAAGUAAGACUAAUACCCUAUGAUUUCCUUUGAUGACAUCAGAUUAGGAAUAAAGAUUUAUCGGUUAUAGAUGGGGAUGCGUCUGAUUAGCUUGUUGGCGGGGUAACGGCCCACCAAGGCAACGAUCAGUAGGGGUUCUGAGAGGAAGGUCCCCCACAUUGGAACUGAGACACGGUCCAAACUCCUACGGGAGGCAGCAGUGAGGAAUAUUGGUCAAUGGGCGGAAGCCUGAACCAGCCAAGUAGCGUGCAGGAUGACGGCCCUAUGGGUUGUAAACUGCUUUUAUACAGGAAUAAAGUUAGCCACGUGUGGUUAUUUGUAGGUACUGUAUGAAUAAGCACCGGCUAACUUCGUGCCAGCCGCCGCGGUAA
Molecule: ribosomal RNA, 506 nt
Filed under: uncultured bacterium
Lineage: Bacteria
Description: partial 16S ribosomal RNA
Rfam family: Bacterial small subunit ribosomal RNA
Source: RNAcentral